This 253-nucleotide ribosomal RNA is filed under the name uncultured bacterium. RNAcentral describes it as "partial 16S ribosomal RNA". It matches the Rfam family "Bacterial small subunit ribosomal RNA", at positions 524 to 776 of the family's 1533-position model. The record is from RNAcentral.
UACGUAGGGGGCAAGCGUUGUCCGGAUUUAUUGGGCGUAAAGAGCGUGUAGGCGGCCUGACAAGUCUGCUGUGAAAACUCGAGGCUCAACCUCGAGAUGUCGGCGGAAACUGUCUGGCUAGAGUCCGGAAGAGGAGAGUGGAAUUCCUGGUGUAGCGGUGAAAUGCGCAGAUAUCAGGAGGAACACCGGUGGCGAAGGCGGAUCUCUGGGCCUUACCUGACGCUCAGGUGCGAAAGCUAGGGGAGCGAACAGG